AGGGUUUGAUCAUGGCUCAGGACGAACGCUGGCGGCGUGCCUAAUACAUGCAAGUGGAACGCAUGAUUGAUACCGGAGCUUGCUCCACCAUUAAUCAUGAGUCGCGAACGGGUGAGUAACGCGUAGGUAACCUACCUCAUAGCGGGGGAUAACUAUUGGAAACGAUAGCUAAUACCGCAUAACAGUAUUUAUCGCAUGGUAAAUGCUUGAAAGGAGCAACUGCUUCACUAUGAGAUGGACCUGCGUUGUAUUAGCUAGUUGGUGGGGUAACGGCUCACCAAGGCAUCGAUACAUAGCCGACCUGAGAGGGUGAUCGGCCACACUGGGACUGAGACACGGCCCAGACUCCUACGGGAGGCAGCAGUAGGGAAUCUUCGGCAAUGGGGGGAACCCUGACCGAGCAACGCCGCGUGAGUGAAGAAGGUUUUCGGAUCGUAAUGCUCUGUUGUAAGAGAAGAACGUGUGUGAGAGUGGAAAGUUCACACAGUGACGGUAACUUACCAGAAAGGGACGGCUAACUACGUGCCAGCCGCCGCGGUAAUAC
This 544-nucleotide ribosomal RNA is filed under the name uncultured bacterium. RNAcentral describes it as "bacterial SSU rRNA". It matches the Rfam family "Bacterial small subunit ribosomal RNA", at positions 8 to 526 of the family's 1533-position model. The record is from RNAcentral.